Unclassified non-coding RNA from Piliocolobus tephrosceles (Ugandan red Colobus), 103 nucleotides. It matches the Rfam family "Y RNA". Rfam says of the family: Y RNAs are components of the Ro ribonucleoprotein particle (Ro RNP), in association with Ro60 and La proteins. NCBI's taxonomy places the organism in Eukaryota, Metazoa, Chordata, Mammalia, Primates, Cercopithecidae. The record is from Ensembl.
GGCCUCCCAAAGUGCUGGGAUUACAGCCAUGAGCCAUAGCGCCCGUCCAAACUCCUUGUUCUAUUCUUUCCCCCUUCUCACUACUGCAGUUGACUAGUCUUUA